AGUGAACGCUGGCGGUAGGCCUAACACAUGCAAGUCGAACGGCAGCACAGUAAGAGCUUGCUCUUACGGGUGGCGAGUGGCGGACGGGUGAGGAAUACAUCGGAAUCUACUUUUUCGUGGGGGAUAACGUAGGGAAACUUACGCUAAUACCGCAUACGACCUACGGGUGAAAGCAGGGGAUCUUCGGACCUUGCGCGAUUGAAUGAGCCGAUGUCGGAUUAGCUAGUUGGCGGGGUAAAGGCCCACCAAGGCGACGAUCCGUAGCCGGUCUGAGAGGAUGAUCAGCCCCACUGGAACUUGAGACCGGUCCCGACUCCCACGGGAGGCCGCCGUUGGGAAUUUUGGGCCAUGGGCGCCAGCCUGAUCCAGCCAUACCGCGUGGGUGAAGAAGGCCUUCGGGUUGUAAAGCCCUUUUGUUGGGAAAGAAAAGCAGCAGGUUAAUACCCCGCUGUUCUGACGGUACCCAAAGAAUAAGCACCGGCUAACUUCGUG
RNAcentral lists this ribosomal RNA (492 nucleotides) under uncultured bacterium. RNAcentral describes it as "partial 16S ribosomal RNA". It matches the Rfam family "Bacterial small subunit ribosomal RNA", at positions 29 to 507 of the family's 1533-position model. The record is from RNAcentral.